GCGGUCAUGGUGGAAUUGGUAGACACGCCAUCUUGAGGGGGUGGUGGCUUCGGCCGUGAGAGUUCGAGUCUCUCUGACCGCA
This 82-nucleotide transfer RNA is filed under the name Thalassoporum mexicanum PCC 7367. RNAcentral describes it as "tRNA-Leu (GAG) (tRNA-Leu-GAG-1-1)". It matches the Rfam family "tRNA". Rfam says of the family: Transfer RNA (tRNA) molecules are approximately 80 nucleotides in length. Their secondary structure includes four short double-helical elements and three loops (D, anti-codon, and T loops). Further hydrogen bonds mediate the characteristic L-shaped molecular structure. tRNAs have two regions of fundamental functional importance: the anti-codon, which is responsible for specific mRNA codon recognition, and the 3' end, to which the tRNAs corresponding amino acid is attached (by aminoacyl-tRNA synthetases). tRNAs cope with the degeneracy of the genetic code in two manners: having more than one tRNA (with a specific anti-codon) for a particular amino acid; and 'wobble' base-pairing, i.e. permitting non-standard base-pairing at the 3rd anti-codon position. The record is from RNAcentral. Lineage: Bacteria; Bacillati; Cyanobacteriota; Cyanophyceae; Pseudanabaenales; Thalassoporaceae.